This 176-nucleotide ribosomal RNA is filed under the name uncultured bacterium. RNAcentral describes it as "partial 16S ribosomal RNA". It matches the Rfam family "Bacterial small subunit ribosomal RNA", at positions 335 to 526 of the family's 1533-position model. The record is from RNAcentral.
ACUCCUACUGGAGGCAGCAGUGAGGAAUUUUCCGCAAUGGGCGAAAGCCUGACGGAGCAAUGCCGCGUGAAGGAUGAAGGCCUAUGAGUUGUAAACUUCUUUUCUCAGAGAAGAAAUUUUGACGGUAUCUGAGGAAUAAGCAUCGGCUAACUCUGUGCCAGCAGCCGCGGUAAUAC